GCGACCCCAGGAUGGGCGGGGCCACCCG
This 28-nucleotide ribosomal RNA is filed under the name Dendrobium crumenatum. RNAcentral describes it as "partial 26S ribosomal RNA". The record is from RNAcentral. Lineage: Eukaryota; Viridiplantae; Streptophyta; Magnoliopsida; Asparagales; Orchidaceae.